CCUACGGGCGGCAGCAGUGAGGAAUAUUGGUCAAUGGGCUUACGCCUGAACCAGCCAAGUCGCGUGAGUGAAGACUGCCCUAUGGGUUGUAAACCCCUUUUGUCAGGGAGCAAUUGGCGCUACGUGUAUCGUUAUCGAGAGUACCUGAAGAAAAAGCAUCGGCUAACUCCGUGCCAGCAGCCGCGGUAAUACGGGGGAUCCGAGCGUUAGCCGGAUUUAUUGGGUUAAAAGGGUGCGUAGGCGGAAUGCCAAGUCAGCGGUAAAAUCGCGGGGCUAACCCUCGCUCCGCCGUUGAAACUGGCGUUCUUGAGUGGGCGAGAGGUAUGCGGAAUGCGUGGUGUAGCGGUGAAAUGCAUAGAUAUCACGCAGAACUCCGAUUGCGAAGGCAGCAUACCGGAGCCCAACUGACGCUGAAGCACGAAAGCGUGGGUAUCGAACAGGAUUAGAUACCCCAGUAGUC
Molecule: ribosomal RNA, 460 nt
Filed under: uncultured bacterium
Lineage: Bacteria
Description: partial 16S ribosomal RNA
Rfam family: Bacterial small subunit ribosomal RNA
Source: RNAcentral